UUUUUAAAAGAUUUGCAGCCAAACAAUGAUUCUCUCUCUCUCUGUGUUUUAAGAUUUGCAAUAUAAUAGUGCUUUUUCUUUAUAUAGUUUUUCAAGAAUUAAUGAAGUGGAUAUGCACAGCAAUGAAACGAAAGAGAGCAUUUGUUGUGAAAUUAAAUUAUCAGAAAAGAGAAAAAAGCCAGUGGUCAAAGUGUUUUGGGCAGUGCAAGAGCAGAUAAGAGAGGGAAAGACGGGGAAAGACAAUGGCAGUACAGCAACCUCAGAGCACGCCAUAAAGAAAGAAGGGUAAAUAAAGAAGACGACAGAGGCUAGAAGGUUUGCUAGGCUUAAACAGGAGAAAAGAAAGGCACCCAUAGGAGCUUCUGUUCACUGAUGGAGGGUACAGCGGUCCACAGAAAUUAGCGAGAUGAGCUACAGGAAAAAGGCCACGCAUUUUACUCUGAAUCUGUGACAUGUAACAUGUAAUAUCCCCCUCGACGAGGCAUGUCAUAUGGACAUGUCGAGCGACAUGGUGUGCGGGCGUGCGAGGCAUUCGGACCAGACAAGGGAAACAAGCGGGAAAGAAGGGGCGGGUGGUGGCUCUUUGCCUUUCUGGUGUUUGGGCCAUAGUUUCUUGUAGGCCCAAUAGUCCAAACCCCAAAGCAUUUGCUACCACGUGCGGCUUCAGGCCCACAUCUCACAAUCACCAUUUAAUACGUCACACGUGUGCCUGAUCGAUUUGAGAUCUGAAAUCCUUUAGUAUUCCUUGC
This 749-nucleotide long non-coding RNA is filed under the name Populus tremula. RNAcentral's name for it is "long non-coding RNA (PTRE_LNC002298)". Lineage: Eukaryota; Viridiplantae; Streptophyta; Magnoliopsida; Malpighiales; Salicaceae. The record is from RNAcentral.